RNAcentral lists this long non-coding RNA (240 nucleotides) under Setaria viridis. Its description in RNAcentral is "long non-coding RNA (SVIR_LNC004999)". Lineage: Eukaryota; Viridiplantae; Streptophyta; Magnoliopsida; Poales; Poaceae. The record is from RNAcentral.
CCACUACAAAGAUAAAAAAAAAUGCAUAUCUACUACGGGAAAACAUGUGGUGCCUACUCGGCCAUUGAGUCAUUUUUCCACCUCAGUGCCACUGUCAAGUACAUUUGGUUGAACCGCUGUUUGGACCCACCUGCAACAGAAAUCCAUGGAAUUAACUAUUUUGCCCCUAUGGAAAAGCUUACCAAUGCUAACCUUUCUUGACCAUACCCAAGCUGACCAAACCCAUUCCCCACUUUUCCC